AGUGAACGCUGGCGGUAGGCCUAACACAUGCAAGUCGAACGGCAGCACAGUAAGAGCUUGCUCUUACGGGUGGCGAGUGGCGGACGGGUGAGGAAUACAUCGGAAUCUACUUUUUCGUGGGGGAUAACGUAGGGAAACUUACGCUAAUACCGCAUACGACCUACGGGUGAAAGCAGGGGAUCUUCGGACCUUGCGCGAUUGAAUGAGCCGCUGUCGGAUUAGCUAGUUGGCGGGGUAAAGGCCCACCAAGGCGACGAUCCGUAGCUGGUCUGAGAGGCUGAUCAGCCACACUGGAACUGAGACACGGUCCAGACUCCUACGGGAGGCAGCAGUGGGGAAUAUUGGACAAUGGGCGCAAGCCUGAUCCAGCCGUACCGCGUGGGUGAAGAAGGCCUUCGGGUUGUAAAGCCCUUUUGUUGGGAAAGAAAAGCAGCAGGUUAAUACCCCGCUGUUCUGACGGUACCCAAAGAAUAAGCACCGGCUAACUUCGUG
RNAcentral lists this ribosomal RNA (492 nucleotides) under uncultured bacterium. RNAcentral describes it as "partial 16S ribosomal RNA". It matches the Rfam family "Bacterial small subunit ribosomal RNA", at positions 29 to 507 of the family's 1533-position model. The record is from RNAcentral.